UACGGAGGGGGCUAGCGUUGUUCGGAAUUACUGGGCGUAAAGCGUACGUAGGCGGUGACUCAAGUCAGAGGUGAAAGCCCGGAGCUCAACUCCGGAAUAGCCUUUGAAACUAGGUCGCUUGAACGUCGGAGAGGUGAGUGGAAUUCCGAGUGUAGAGGUGAAAUUCGUAGAUAUUCGGAAGAACACCAGUGGCGAAGGCGACUUACUGGACGACUGUUGACGCUGAGGUGCGAAAGCGUGGGGAGCAAACAGG
This 253-nucleotide ribosomal RNA is filed under the name uncultured bacterium. RNAcentral describes it as "partial 16S ribosomal RNA". It matches the Rfam family "Bacterial small subunit ribosomal RNA", at positions 524 to 776 of the family's 1533-position model. The record is from RNAcentral.